UGCAGAAUCCCGUGAACCAUCGAGUCUUUGAACGCAAGUUGCGCCCCAAGCCUUCUGGCCGAGGGCACGUCUGCCUGGGUGUCACAAAUCGUCGUCCCUCUCAUCCUUUUAGGACGUGGGACGGAAGUUGGUCUCCCGUGUGUUACCGCACGCGGUUGAUCAAAAUCCGAGCUAAGGACGCCGAGAGCGUCAUGACAUGCGGUGGUGAAUUAAAGCCUCUUCGUAUCGUCGGUCGUUCCAGUCCAUAAGCUCUCUUGAUGACCCAAAGUCCUCAAAGCGACCCCAGGUCAGGCGGGAUCACCCGCUGAGUUUAAGCAUAUCAAUAAGCGGAGGAGAAGAAACUAACAAGGAUUCCCUUAGUAACGGCGAGCGAACCGGGAAGAGCCCAGCUUGAAAAUCGGAUGUCUUCGACGUUCGA
RNAcentral lists this ribosomal RNA (418 nucleotides) under Cardamine pratensis. Its description in RNAcentral is "eukaryotic LSU rRNA". The stretch from base 278 to 418 matches the Rfam family "Eukaryotic large subunit ribosomal RNA", at positions 1 to 141 of the family's 3401-position model. Lineage: Eukaryota; Viridiplantae; Streptophyta; Magnoliopsida; Brassicales; Brassicaceae. The record is from RNAcentral.